RNAcentral lists this ribosomal RNA (710 nucleotides) under uncultured bacterium. RNAcentral describes it as "bacterial SSU rRNA". It matches the Rfam family "Bacterial small subunit ribosomal RNA", at positions 8 to 760 of the family's 1533-position model. The record is from RNAcentral.
AGAGUUUGAUCCUGGCUCAGAAUCAACGCUGGCGGCGUGCUUAACACAUGCAAGUCGAGCGGGCGUAGCAAUACGUCAGCGGCAGACGGGUGAGUAACGCGUGGGAACAUACCUUUUGGUUCGGAACAACACAGGGNAAACUUGUGCUAAUACCGAAUAAGCCCUUACGGGGAAAGAUUUAUCGCCGAAUCAUUGGCCCGCGUCUGAUUAGCUAGUUGGUGAGGUAACGGCUCACCAAGGCGACGAUCAGUAGCUGGUCUGAGAGGAUGAUCAGCCACAUUGGGACUGAGACACGGCCCAAACUCCUACGGGAGGCAGCAGUGGGGAAUAUUGGACAAUGGGCGCAAGCCUGAUCCAGCCAUGCCGCGUGAGUGAUGAAGGCCCUAGGGUUGUAAAGCUCUUUUGUGCGGGAAGAUAAUGACGGUACCGCAAGAAUAAGCCCCGGCUAACUUCGUGCCAGCAGCCGCGGUAAUACGAAGGGGGCUAGCGUUGCUCGGAAUCACUGGGCGUAAAGGGUGCGUAGGCGGNNUCUUUAAGUCAGGGGUGAAAUCCUGGAGCUCAACUCCAGAACUGCCUUUGAUACUGAAGAUCUUGAGUUCGGGAGAGGUGAGUGGAACUGCGAGUGUAGAGGUGAAAUUCGUAGAUAUUCGCAAGAACACCAGUGGCGAANGCGGCUCACUGGCCCGAUACUGACGCUGAGGCACGAAAGC